RNAcentral lists this ribosomal RNA (446 nucleotides) under uncultured bacterium. Its description in RNAcentral is "bacterial SSU rRNA". It matches the Rfam family "Bacterial small subunit ribosomal RNA", at positions 329 to 792 of the family's 1533-position model. The record is from RNAcentral.
GUCCAGACUCCUACGGGAGGCAGCAGUGGGGAAUAUUGCAUAAUGGGGGAAACCCUGAUGCAGCAACGCCGCGUGAGUGAAGAAGUAUUUCGGUAUGUAAAGCUCUAUCAGCAGGGAAGAAAAUGACGGUACCUGACUAAGAAGCUCCGGCUAAAUACGUGCCAGCAGCCGCGGUAAUACGUAUGGAGCAAGCGUUAUCCGGAUUUACUGGGUGUAAAGGGAGCGCAGGCGGUACGGCAAGUCCGAUGUGAAAACCCGGGGCUCAACCCCGGGACUGCAUUGGAAACUGCCGCACUAGAGUGCCGGAGAGGUAAGUGGAAUUCCUAGUGUAGCGGUGAAAUGCGUAGAUAUUAGGAGGAACACCAGUGGCGAAGGCGGCUUACUGGACUGUAACUGACGUUGAGGCUCGAAAGCGUGGGGAGCAAACAGGAUUAGAUACCCCUGUA